AUACGGAGGGUGCGAGCGUUAAUCGGAAUUACUGGGCGUAAAGCGUACGUAGGCGGUUGGUUAAGUUAGAUGUGAAAGCCCCGGGCUUAACCUGGGAACUGCAUUCGAAACUCCCGGACUUGAGUGUGAGAGGGGUGAAGAGAAUUCCCGGUGUAAGGGUGAAAUCUGCAGAGAUCGGGAGGAAUACCAGUCGCGAAGGCGCUUCGCUGGCUCACAACUGACGCUGAGGGACGAAAGCUAGGGUAGCAAACGGGAUUAGAAACCCCAGUAGUCC
Molecule: ribosomal RNA, 274 nt
Filed under: uncultured bacterium
Lineage: Bacteria
Description: partial 16S ribosomal RNA
Rfam family: Bacterial small subunit ribosomal RNA
Source: RNAcentral